MicroRNA precursor from Gallus gallus (chicken), 97 nucleotides. NCBI's taxonomy places the organism in Eukaryota, Metazoa, Chordata, Aves, Galliformes, Phasianidae. The record is from Ensembl.
UGCACCAUGGGAUGCGCGCUGCCCUCUCCCUCCCUCGCUCCCCGCACUAACAUGGCUGCGGGGGAGGAGGGAGGGGGUCAGGCUGCCGCCCCUCGCA